GGGGAUAAACUUAGAAUCCCUAUGAAUAUUGUGUUAAUAGUCGUACUUUUGGCCGAGUGCGAUGGUUAGUGAAUC
Molecule: non-coding RNA, 75 nt
Filed under: Xylanibacter oryzae DSM 17970
Lineage: Bacteria; Pseudomonadati; Bacteroidota; Bacteroidia; Bacteroidales; Prevotellaceae
Description: L13-Bacteroidia ribosomal protein leader
Rfam family: L13-Bacteroidia ribosomal protein leader
Source: RNAcentral